Long non-coding RNA from Carassius carassius (crucian carp), 578 nucleotides. RefSeq lists it as uncharacterized. The record is from RefSeq and is a predicted model, not a curated record. Lineage: Eukaryota; Metazoa; Chordata; Actinopteri; Cypriniformes; Cyprinidae. The transcript has 3 exons.
GAAGAUGAAGGACUUGGAGAGGGAAAAGGACCUUUUGUGGAUUGGAUUGCAGGCUUUAGAGCAGGUGCGAGAGAAAUUAUGCUACAACCCAGAAGACCACAUGGAAGUGCAAGACCAAUUCAAGAAAGGAGAGAUGAGAAAAGUGUUUCCAGACACCUCCACCCUACUGUUGGCUCAGAUCCACAGAGUGAACAGGACCUUGAGGAAUCUACUGUGACUCCAGGAAUCCCACUGAUCCUGCAAUAGAAGGUACUGAAGGAGAUCAGCCCUCUCCUACCCAUUCAGAAGAAAGUGCUAGUUUUUAAUCAGCUAUUUGUUUUGAAUUUCUAUAUUGCAUUCUCCUGUAUUUUGUGCUUGCUGAAUGUAUUCUGAGUAGAUUGAAAUGAUCAUUUUCUGUGCGAUAAAUGAAAAUAGCUUACUUGAUUGGAUUUCCAAAACAUGGCAUACAACUCGCACACUGCUUUGUAUGUUUUAUUCAAGAAUUCGGUGCAAUCGACUUGGCCUUCAAUUUCCAUUGUCCUUCCAGGAAUGAAUAUACUAAAGGUUUAUUAACUGCGUUCUGCCAUUUAGUUUCUGAU